CAAUAGCGUAUAUUAAAGCUGUUGCGGUUAAAAAGCUCGUAGUUGGAUUUCUGUCAAGGACAACUGGUCCGCCCUCCGGGUGAGCACAUAGUUUGGUCUUGACAUCUUGCUGGAAGCUGUUGCUGCACUUGGCUGUGUGGCGCAGUGUUCAGCACUUUCACUUUGAGGAAAUUGGAGUGUUUCAAGCAGGCACAUGCCUUUGGACACAGUAUCAUGGAAUAAUUAGAUUGGGCUUUUGCUCCAAUUUGUCGGUUUCUGGAGCUGAGGUGAGUAUUAAUGGGGAUUGUUGGGGGCAUCCGAAUUUAGCCGUCAGAGGUGAAAUUCUUGGAUCUGCUAAAGACGGACAACUGCGAAAGCGUUUGCCCAGGAUGUUUUCAUUGA
This 381-nucleotide ribosomal RNA is filed under the name uncultured eukaryote. RNAcentral's name for it is "partial 18S ribosomal RNA". It matches the Rfam family "Eukaryotic small subunit ribosomal RNA", at positions 592 to 976 of the family's 1831-position model. The record is from RNAcentral.